This 442-nucleotide ribosomal RNA is filed under the name uncultured bacterium. RNAcentral describes it as "partial 16S ribosomal RNA". It matches the Rfam family "Bacterial small subunit ribosomal RNA", at positions 338 to 795 of the family's 1533-position model. The record is from RNAcentral.
CCUACGGGUGGCAGCAGUGGGGAAUAUUGGGCAAUGGGCGCAAGCCUGACCCAGCAACGCCGCGUGAAGGAAGAAGGCUCUCUGGUUGUUAACCUCCUUUAAGAGGGAAGUGCAGAGGACGGUACCUCUUGAAUAAGCUACGGCUAAUGACGUGCAAGCAGCCGCGGUAAUACGUAGGUGGCAAGCGUUGUCCGGAUUUACUGGGUGUAAAGGGCGUGCAGCCGGGAAGACAAGUCAGAUGUGAAAUCCCGCGGCUCAACCGCGGAACUGCAUUUGAAACUGUUGUUCUUGAGUACCGGAGAGGUGAUCGGAAUUCCUUGUGUAGCGGUGAAACGCGUAGAUAUAAGGAAGAACACCAGUGGCGAAGGCGGAUGACUGGACGGCAACUGACGGUGAGGCGCGAAAGCGUGGGGAGCAAACAGGAUUAGAUACCCCAGUAGUC